GGCCCAUUAGCUCAGGUGGUAGAGCACGUGACUUUUAAUCACGGUGUCCGGGGUUCGAAUCCCCGAUGGACCACCA
Molecule: transfer RNA, 76 nt
Filed under: Clostridia bacterium
Lineage: Bacteria; Bacillati; Bacillota; Clostridia
Also listed under: 1 other name
Description: tRNA-Lys
Rfam family: tRNA
About the family: Transfer RNA (tRNA) molecules are approximately 80 nucleotides in length. Their secondary structure includes four short double-helical elements and three loops (D, anti-codon, and T loops).
Source: RNAcentral